Molecule: ribosomal RNA, 471 nt
Filed under: uncultured bacterium
Lineage: Bacteria
Description: bacterial SSU rRNA
Rfam family: Bacterial small subunit ribosomal RNA
Source: RNAcentral
UGGGGAAUUGUUCGCAAUGGGCGCAAGCCUGACGACGCAACGCCGCGUGGAGGAUGAAGAUUUUCGGAUCGUAAACUCCUUUCGAUCGAGACGAAUGACCCUUGGGUUAAUAGCCUGAGGGAGUGACGGUACUAUUUGUAAGGUCCGACUAACUACGUGCCAGCAGCCGCGGUAAUACGAAGGGAGCUAGCGUUGUUCGGAAUCACUGGGCGUAAAGCGCACGUAGGCGGAUAGUUAAGUCAGGGGUGAAAUCCUGGGGCUCAACCCCAGAACUGCCUUUGAUACUGGCUGUCUCGAGGUCGAGAGAGGUUGGUGGAAUUCCUAGUGUAGAGGUGAAAUUCGUAGAUAUUAGGAAGAACACCGGUGGCGAAGGCGGCCAACUGGCUCGAUACUGACGCUGAGGUGCGAACGCGUGGGGAGCAAACAGGAUUAGAUACCCCCGUAGUCCCUGAGCGGGCUGGCAAGGCGCAU